UGGGGAAUAUUGGACAAUGGGGGCAACCCUGAUCCAGCCAUGCCGCGUGUGUGAAGAAGGCUUUCGGGUUGUAAAGCACUUUCAGCGGGGAGGAAGGCUCACAGGUUAAUACCCUGUGGGAUUGACGUUACCCGCAGAAGAAGCAUCGGCUAACUCCGUG
This 160-nucleotide ribosomal RNA is filed under the name uncultured bacterium. Its description in RNAcentral is "partial 16S ribosomal RNA". It matches the Rfam family "Bacterial small subunit ribosomal RNA", at positions 355 to 507 of the family's 1533-position model. The record is from RNAcentral.